GAUGAACGCUGGCGGCGUGCCUAAUACCUGCAAGUCGAGCGAACAGACGAGGAGCUUGCUCCUCUGACGUUAGCGGCGGGCGGGUGAGUAACACGUGGAUAACCUACCUAUAAGACUGGGAUAACUUCGGGAAACCGGAGCUAAUACCGGAUAAUAUAUUGAACCGCAUGGUUCAAUAGUGAAAGACGGUUUUGCUGUCACUUAUAGAUGGAUCCGCGCCGCAUUAGCUAGUUGGUAAGGUAACGGCUUACCAAGGCAACGAUGCGUAGCCGACCUGAGAGGGUGAUCGGCCACACUGGAACUGAGACACGGUCCAGACUCCUACGGGAGGCAGCAGUAGGGAAUCUUCCGCAAUGGGCGAAAGCCUGACGGAGCAACGCCGCGUGAGUGAUGAAGGUCUUCGGAUCGUAAAACUCUGUUAUUAGGGAAGAACAAAUGUGUAAGUAACUAUGCACGUCUUGACGGUACCUAAUCAGAAAGCCACGGCUAACUACGUG
Molecule: ribosomal RNA, 497 nt
Filed under: uncultured bacterium
Lineage: Bacteria
Description: partial 16S ribosomal RNA
Rfam family: Bacterial small subunit ribosomal RNA
Source: RNAcentral